This 999-nucleotide ribosomal RNA is filed under the name uncultured Clostridiales Family XIV bacterium. RNAcentral's name for it is "bacterial SSU rRNA". It matches the Rfam family "Bacterial small subunit ribosomal RNA", at positions 1 to 958 of the family's 1533-position model. The record is from RNAcentral. Lineage: Bacteria; Bacillati; Bacillota; Clostridia; Eubacteriales; Clostridiales Family XIV. Incertae Sedis.
GGAGCUCUCCCAUAUGGUCGACCUGCAGGCGGCCGCGAAUUCACUAGUGAUUAGAGUUUGAUCCUGGCUCAGGAUGAACGCUGGCGGCGUGCCUAACACAUGCAAGUCGAACGAAGCAAUUAAAGGAAGUUUUCGGAUGGAAUUUGAUUGACUGAGUGGCGGACGGGUGAGUAACGCGUGGAUAACCUGCCUCACACUGGGGGAUAACAGUUAGAAAUGACUGCUAAUACCGCAUAAGCGCACAGUACCGCAUGGUACGGUGUGAAAAACUCCGGUGGUGUGAGAUGGAUCCGCGUCUGAUUAGCCAGUUGGCGGGGUAACGGCCCACCAAAGCGACGAUCAGUAGCCGACCUGAGAGGGUGACCGGCCACAUUGGGACUGAGACACGGCCCAAACUCCUACGGGAGGCAGCAGUGGGGAAUAUUGCACAAUGGGCGAAAGCCUGAUGCAGCGACGCCGCGUGAGUGAAGAAGUAUUUCGGUAUGUAAAGCUCUAUCAGCAGGGAAGAAAAUGACGGUACCUGACUAAGAAGCCCCGGCUAACUACGUGCCAGCAGCCGCGGUAAUACGUAGGGGGCAAGCGUUAUCCGGAUUUACUGGGUGUAAAGGGAGCGUAGACGGCGAAGCAAGUCUGAAGUGAAAACCCAGGGCUCAACCCUGGGACUGCUUUGGAAACUGUUUUGCUAGAGUGUCGGAGAGGUAAGUGGAAUUCCUAGUGUAGCGGUGAAAUGCGUAGAUAUUAGGAGGAACACCAGUGGCGAAGGCGGCUUACUGGACGAUAACUGACGUUGAGGCUCGAAAGCGUGGGGAGCAAACAGGAUUAGAUACCCUGNUAGUCCACGCCGUAAACGAUGAAUGCUNGGUGUUGGGGGGCAAAGCCCUUCGGUGCCGUCGCNNCGCANUANGCAUUCCACCUGGGGAGUACGUUCGCAAGAAUGAAACUCAAGGAAUUGACGGGGACCCGCACAAGCGGNGGNNCAUGUNGUUUNAUUUCGAAGCA